RNAcentral lists this ribosomal RNA (408 nucleotides) under Fusobacteriota bacterium. Its description in RNAcentral is "Fusobacteria bacterium partial 16S ribosomal RNA". It matches the Rfam family "Bacterial small subunit ribosomal RNA", at positions 355 to 776 of the family's 1533-position model. Lineage: Bacteria; Fusobacteriati; Fusobacteriota. The record is from RNAcentral.
UGGGGAAUAUUGCACGAUGGACGGAAGUCUGAUGCAGCAACGCCGCGUGCGGGAUGACGGCCUUCGGGUUGUAAACCGCUUUUUCUCAUGACGAAGUUUUUUGACGGUAGUGGGGGAAGAAGCACCGGCUAACUACGUGCCAGCAGCCGCGGUGAUACGUAGGGUGCGAGCGUUGUCCGGAAUUAUUGGGCGUAAAGAGCUUGUAGGCGGUUUGUCGCGUCGAUAGUGCAAACUCAGUGCUUAACGCUGAGCCUGCUGUUGAUACGGGCAGACUAGAGGAAGGUAGGGGAGAAUGGAAUUCCCGGUGGAGCGGUGGAAUGCGCAGAUAUCGGGAGGAACACCGGUGGCGAAGGCGGUUCUCUGGGCCUUUCCUGACGCUGAGAAGCGAAAGCGUGGGGAGCGAACAGG